Molecule: long non-coding RNA, 201 nt
Filed under: Elaeis guineensis (African oil palm)
Lineage: Eukaryota; Viridiplantae; Streptophyta; Magnoliopsida; Arecales; Arecaceae
Description: long non-coding RNA (EGUI_LNC053344)
Source: RNAcentral
CUGUCUGGUAAUGGGCCAUUCAGAGCUGUGCGGAGUUUGUUACGGAGAGUAGUGGCAUCAGAGGUCGUUCAGGGCCACAUGGAGCUUGUUGUGGAGAGUGGAGUGGUGUCCGUUGUCGUGACUUGUCAGAGAGCGGUGGAGCUGCGUCGAAUCUGUUGCAGAGAGUGGAGCAGGAUGGCGGUUCUUAUCGUGGCUUGCCAG